This 486-nucleotide ribosomal RNA is filed under the name uncultured bacterium. RNAcentral's name for it is "partial 16S ribosomal RNA". It matches the Rfam family "Bacterial small subunit ribosomal RNA", at positions 28 to 507 of the family's 1533-position model. The record is from RNAcentral.
GAUGAACGCUGGCGGCGUGCCUAAUACAUGCAAGUCGAACGCUGGAGAUCUAGCUUGCUCACUCGAAGGAGUGGCGAACGGGUGAGUAAUACAUAAGCAACCUACCCACGAAGACUGGGAUAAUCUCUGGAAACGGGGACUAAUACCGGAUAGGUAAUCGGAAGGCAUCUUCUGGUUAUUAAAGGUUAAAAACACUGGUGGAUGGGCUUAUGGCGCAUUAGUUAGUUGGUGAGGUAACGGCCCACCAAGACGAUGAUGCGUAGCCGGCCUGAGAGGGUGAACGGCCACAUUGGGACUGAGACACGGCCCAGACUCCUACGGGAGGCAGCAGUAGGGAAUUUUCGGCAAUGGGGGCAACCCUGACCGAGCAACGCCGCGUGAGUGAAGACGGCCUUCGGGUUGUAAAGCUCUGUUGUAAGGGAAGAACGGUAGAUAGAGAAUAUCUAAGUGACGGUACCUUACCAGAAAGCCACGGCUAACUACGUG